Molecule: transfer RNA, 67 nt
Filed under: Liriomyza sativae (vegetable leafminer)
Lineage: Eukaryota; Metazoa; Arthropoda; Insecta; Diptera; Agromyzidae
Description: tRNA-Phe
Source: RNAcentral
AUUCAAAUAGCUUAUAUUUAGAGUAUGACACUGAAGAUGUUAGGGAAAUUGUUUUAAUUUUUGAAUA